AAUAGAUACCCAGGUAGUCCACGCCGUAAACGAUGAGUGCUAAGUGUUAGGGGGUUUCCGCCCCUUAGUGCUGCAGCUAACGCAUUAAGCACUCCGCCUGGGGAGUACGGUCGCAAGACUGAAACUCAAAGGAAUUGACGGGGGCCCGCACAAGCGGUGGAGCAUGUGGUUUAAUUCGAAGCAACGCGAAGAACCUUACCAGGUCUUGACAUCCCAUUGACCGCUAUGGAGACAUAGCUUUCCCUUCGGGGACAGUGGUGACAGGUGGUGCAUGGUUGUCGUCAGCUCGUGUCGUGAGAUGUUGGGUUAAGUCCCGCAACGAGCGCAACCCUUGUUCUUAGUUGCCAUCAUUUAGUUGGGCACUCUAAGGAGACUGCCGGUGACAAACCGGAGGAAGGUGGGGAUGGACGUCAAAUCAUCAUGCCCCUUAUGACCUGGGCUACACACGUGCUACAAUGGACGGUACAAACGGUUGCCGAACCCGCGAGGGGGAGCUAAUCCGAUAAAACCGUUCUCAGUUCGGAUUGUAGGCUGCAACUCGCCUAC
Molecule: ribosomal RNA, 546 nt
Filed under: uncultured bacterium
Lineage: Bacteria
Description: bacterial SSU rRNA
Rfam family: Bacterial small subunit ribosomal RNA
Source: RNAcentral